This 494-nucleotide ribosomal RNA is filed under the name uncultured bacterium. RNAcentral describes it as "bacterial SSU rRNA". It matches the Rfam family "Bacterial small subunit ribosomal RNA", at positions 30 to 511 of the family's 1533-position model. The record is from RNAcentral.
AUUGAACGCUGGCGGCAUGCCUAACACAUGCAAGUCGAACGGCAGCAUGGUCUAGCUUGCUAGACUGAUGGCGAGUGGCGGACGGGUGAGUAACGCGUAGGAAUAUGCCUUAAAGAGGGGGAUAACUUGGGGAAACUCAAGCUAAUACCGCAUAAGCUCUAAGGAGUAAAGCUGGGGACCUUCGGGCCUGGCGCUUUAAGAAUAGCCUGCGUACGAUUAGCUAGUUGGUGGGGUAAAGGCCUACCAAGGCGACGAUCGUUAGCUGGUCUGAGAGGAUGGCCAGCCACACUGGGACUGAGACACGGCCCAGACUCCUACGGGAGGCAGCAGUGGGGAAUAUUGGACAAUGGGGGGAACCCUGAUCCAGCAAUGCCGCGUGUGUGAAGAAGGCCUGAGGGUUGUAAAGCACUUUCAGUGGGGAGGAGGGUUGAUUGGUUAAGAGCUGAUUAAUUGGACGUUACCCACAGAAGAAGCACCGGCUAACUCCGUGCCAG